GACAUUUCUAGGCAAGUCCACCGGCCCUAAGAAGAGGAUGAGAGGCAUGUGAAGAAGAGUCCACCUUGGAUACAUAGAGAGGUUAUGAAGCCUUCCUGAAUGCUCAUUCAAGGUAAGGAAUUGGCUAACCCCAAAGAACACAUUGAAAAGAAAAAAUGAUGAUAGGAUUAAAUUAAAUAUGUUUUAUUACAUUGCAUCAGUUUAGAUGUUCAAUAUAUUCUUUUUUAAUAAAGAAAAGUUUAUUUGGCUAAUGAUUUUCAG
Molecule: long non-coding RNA, 261 nt
Filed under: Homo sapiens (human)
Lineage: Eukaryota; Metazoa; Chordata; Mammalia; Primates; Hominidae
Description: HSALNT0104888
Source: RNAcentral